GUAGUAGAUUAUAUAUCUGCGUAUAUUUAUUGGAACUUCGGUUAUAAAGGUUAAGUUCUCAGCAUGUUUUGUUAAUAUGAGGUAUAUACGAAAGUAUGAAUUAUAAAAGGAUUUGAAAUCUAGUUAAUUUUGUGCCAGCAUCUGCGGUUAAACUUAAAGGUUAAGUAAAAAUUUUUCGGUUAUAAGCUAGGCGAUAAGGAUAUUAAAUGCUUAAAAAUUAUAAGCAAUAAAAGGUGAAAUUAAAUUGUUGUUUUGUAACAAAAAAGAAUUUGUAGUCGAAGCUGAAAAAAUUAAAGUAAAGACUAGGAUUAGAUACCCUAUUAUUAAAAUUAUAAAAUAUAUAUAACCCGGUUAGUAAUAGUUAUUUACUUAAAAACUAAAAAAUUUGGCGGUAAUUUAAUCUUCUCAGAGGAAUUUGUUUCUUAAUCGAUAAACCACGAAGUAUCUUGCUUAUUUAGAAUAAUUAGUUUGUAUACCAUCAUUAUCAGGUAAUUUUAAAAGAAAGAAUUGCUUAAAUUAAUGUUUAUUAAAAAAAUUAGAUCAUGGUGCAGCUUAUGAAUAAGUUGAAAUGGAUUACAAUAAAUUAUUUUAUUUACGGAUUUAUAAAGUAAGAAUUUAUAAUGAAGGAGGAUUUGGUUGUAUUACAAGUUUAAUAAGCUUGUAAGAUAUAUAGGCUCUAAAUUAUGUACAUAUCGCCCGUCGCUUUCACUCAUAGGUGAAAUAAGUCGUAACAUAGUAGAUGUACUGGAAAGUGCAUCUAGAAUUAU
Molecule: non-coding RNA, 767 nt
Filed under: Austruca lactea
Lineage: Eukaryota; Metazoa; Arthropoda; Malacostraca; Decapoda; Ocypodidae
Source: RNAcentral